Anneissia japonica is the source of this 754-nucleotide long non-coding RNA. RefSeq lists it as uncharacterized. The record is from RefSeq and is a predicted model, not a curated record. Lineage: Eukaryota; Metazoa; Echinodermata; Crinoidea; Comatulida; Comatulidae. The transcript is spliced from 3 exons.
AUUUUGGCAGUGCAAUUGUACUGUAGUCUGUAUAGUGUAGUGGGUGGAGAAACAGGCAUUUCUUUGUUUACAAUGUUUGCAGAAUUGUACACGAAAAAGAUGUGUGCCUAAAAUAUGCGAAGGUUUUCCUUUCUUUGUACACGAAAAAGAAAAACAGAAGGCGUGUACAAAUUAUCAAGAUGUUUUCCUUUUUCACCAGUGACCAAAUGACCAUUAGAAGUGGCCAUAUUGCCUUGAACUUGUCUGCACCAAGAAUCUUCAAUGAAUUUACCAGCAAAUUGUUUAAGGAAAAACAAGAUUACUGGAGUAAUUUAUUUGAUUGACAAGCUCUGACAUAUGUUGCUGCCUAUACUCUGGAGGCUCCAGCUAAGCAGUACUGUUCGUACCUCCAAACUCAAUUUUAUUUUCUGACUCAUAAUCUCUGGUUGAGACUACUUAAAAAUUCCCACAAGUCUUGUAACUUCCUUUCCACAAGCUAACACAGGUAAUGCUUUGUGCUCUGAAGCUGUUGUAUAUUUAUACUUGUCUGUGUUUUCGGAUUACAAUAGAACACAUUCAUACUUUAAUCAAGUCGUGCAAAACUGUAAAUUAUCUUAGGCCGACUUAAAAUGGACAUGUUAUUAAUACAUAAUUAUAUUAUGAGGAGAGAUGUUACGUCCACUGCCAUCGAACAAACUGCCAUGAGAGCAGAUAUAGAGAAUGUUGUGAAGUACUGACAGAAGUAGCUUACGCUUUCAAUGCAUACUUCGAAAUA